UAAAAGUUUGGGGGGAAAUAAAAAGUUUUGGGGAAUAAAAGUUUGAGGGAAAGUAAAUAGGGGGAAGUAAAAUUUUAGAGGGAAAAUAUUAAAAAAAAUUAGAAGGGGGAGGGUUUGGGGUAGAUGAGAGGUGGGAUAGGAAGGGAAUAAAAGUUUUAGGGGGAAAAGUGGGAGAGAGUAAAAAUUUUGGGGGAAAAUAAAAUGUUUUGAGGGUUUUUGGGAGUAAAAUUUUGAGAAAAAGUAAUUGAGAGAGUAAAAUUUUGGUGGAAAAUGGAUUUUGGGUAGAUUGGGGGGUUGGGAGGGGAGGGGAGUAAAAGUUUGGGGGAAAAGUGGGAAGGAGUAAAAGUUUUGAGGGAAAAGUAAAAAGAUUUGGGAGUUUGGGGUAAAAAUGUAAAAUAUUAUAGUUUGAUAUUCGAAUUAUUCGAAUUAUUCGAGUUAUUCGAAUUCGAAAACUCAACUCGAUUCGAACUCGAAAUUUUAAAAAAAAAUCGAGUUGAUUCGAAUAACUCGAUUCGUUUAACUCAAAAUACGAAUUUUUUUUCGAUUUUUUCGAGUCGAA
RNAcentral lists this long non-coding RNA (559 nucleotides) under Gossypium raimondii (Peruvian cotton). Its description in RNAcentral is "long non-coding RNA (GRAI_LNC008320)". Lineage: Eukaryota; Viridiplantae; Streptophyta; Magnoliopsida; Malvales; Malvaceae. The record is from RNAcentral.